AAACUGAGCUCUUCUCUCUUCUCCUGCUUCUCAACACAGUUAAAGCAGAUGGAUGAUUCCUGGCUGCACCCAUGCCCAGCCAGCCCAGCCAUUGAGGAUGCCCAUCAAGGAGACUGUGCUCCCUGGAGUCCAUGUGCCAAGCAGAAGUUGCCCACUCAUUGCCCUUUGUACAGCUGAUCUUCAUAGUGACCUGCUCAUUCUCACCUUAUGAUGACUCUGAGAGUUUCCUGGUGGAGGUUGAGGGUAGCCAGAAACCACCACAAGCCACUAACAGAACUUCUACCCUGUAGACAGGACAAGUGAAUGAGGGCCUCCAUGAUGGUUAAUCUUGGUUGUCAACUUGCUGGGUUGAGGGACAUGUAAAAAAUUGUAAAGCAUACUUCUGGGUGUGGCCACAAGGGUGUUUCCUGGGAGGAUGGCCAUGUGGGUCAGCGAAUUGAGUAGGGAAGACACCUCUGAGAGUGGAUGGCACCAUCUAAUAAGUUGGGGCCCAGAUGAAACAAAAAGAGGAAGAAGAGAGAAGCUCAUGUGCUCACAUUCUCAACUCUUCUGAAGUGGGUACUGCUGUCACCAUACGCAUCAGAUUUCAGAUUCCUCAGCCUUUGAACAUGGACUUGCACCA
Molecule: long non-coding RNA, 622 nt
Filed under: Marmota monax (woodchuck)
Lineage: Eukaryota; Metazoa; Chordata; Mammalia; Rodentia; Sciuridae
Source: RNAcentral